This 427-nucleotide ribosomal RNA is filed under the name uncultured Gammaproteobacteria bacterium. RNAcentral describes it as "bacterial SSU rRNA". It matches the Rfam family "Bacterial small subunit ribosomal RNA", at positions 958 to 1385 of the family's 1533-position model. Lineage: Bacteria; Pseudomonadati; Pseudomonadota; Gammaproteobacteria. The record is from RNAcentral.
AACGCGAAGAACCUUACCUGGCCUUGACAUGUCUGGAAGUCUGCAGAGAUGCGGAUGUGCCUUCGGGAACCAGAACACAGGUGCUGCAUGGCUGUCGUCAGCUCGUGUCGUGAGAUGUUGGGUUAAGUCCCGCAACGAGCGCAACCCUUGUCCUUAGUUGCCAGCUUUAAGUAGGGAACUCUAAGGAGACCGCCGGUGACAAACCGGAGGAAGGUGGGGAUGACGUCAAGUCAUCAUGGCCUUUAUGGCCAGGGCUACACACGUGCUACAAUGGUAGAAACAGAGGGAAGCCAACGCGCGAGCGGGAGCCAAUCCCAGAAAAUCUAUCGUAGUCCGGAUCGGAGUCUGCAACUCGACUCCGUGAAGUCGGAAUCGCUAGUAAUCGCAGAUCAGCAUUGCUGCGGUGAAUACGUUCCCGGGCCUUGUA